GACGAACGCUUGCGGCGUGCUUAACACAUGCAAGUCGAACGGAAAGGCCCUGCUUUUGUGGGGUGCUCGAGUGGCGAACGGGUGAGUAACACGUGAGUAACCUGCCCUUGACUUUGGGAUAACUUCAGGAAACUGGGGCUAAUACCGGAUAGGAGCUCCUGCUGCAUGGUGGGGGUUGGAAAGUUUCGGCGGUUGGGGAUGGACUCGCGGCUUAUCAGCUUGUUGGUGGGGUAGUGGCUUACCAAGGCUUUGACGGGUAGCCGGCCUGAGAGGGUGACCGGCCACAUUGGGACUGAGAUACGGCCCAGACUCCUACGGGAGGCAGCAGUGGGGAAUAUUGCACAAUGGGCGGAAGCCUGAUGCAGCAACGCCGCGUGCGGGAUGACGGCCUUCGGGUUGUAAACCGCUUUCGCCUGUGACGAAGCGUGAGUGACGGUAAUGGGUAAAGAAGCACCGGCUAACUACGUGCCAGCAGCCGCGGUGAUACGUAGGGUGCGAGCGUUGUCCGGAUUUAUUGGGCGUAAAGGGCUCGUAGGUGGUUGAUCGCGUCGGAAGUGUAAUCUUGGGGCUUAACCCUGAGCGUGCUUUCGAUACGGGUUGACUUGAGGAAGGUAGGGGAGAAUGGAAUUCCUGGUGGAGCGGUGGAAUGCGCAGAUAUCAGGAGGAACACCAGUGGCGAAGGCGGUUCCCUGGGCCUUUCCUGACGCUGAGGAGCGAAAGCGUGGGGAGCGAACAGGCUUAGAUACCCUGGUAGUCCACGCUGUAAACGGUGGGUACUAGGUGUGGGGUCCAUUCCACGGGUUCCGUGCCGUAGCUAACGCUUUAAGUACCCCGCCUGGGGAGUACGGCCGCAAGGCUAAAACUCAAAGGAAUUGACGGGGCCCCGCACAAGCGGCGGAGCAUGCGGAUUAAUUCGAUGCAACGCGUAGAACCUUACCUGGGUUUGACAUGGAUCGGGAGUGCUCAGAGAUGGGUGUGCCUCUUUUGGGGUCGGUUCACAGGUGGUGCAUGCCUGUCGUCAGCUCGUGUCGUGAGAUGUUGGGUUAAGUCCCGCAACGAGCGCAACCCUUGUUCACUGUUGCCAGCACGUUAUGGUGGGGACUCAGUGGAGACCGCCGGGGUCAACUCGGAGGAAGGUGGGGAUGACGUCAAGUCCUCAUGCCCCUUAUGUCCAGGGCUUCACGCAUGCUACAAUGGCUGGUACAGAGAGUGGCGAGCCUGUGAGGGUGAGCGAAUCUCGGAAAGCCGGUCUCAGUUCGGAUUGGGGUCUGCAACUCGACCUCAUGAAGUCGGAGUCGCUAGUAAUCGCAGAUCAGCAACGCUGCGGUGAAUACGUUCCCGGG
Molecule: ribosomal RNA, 1343 nt
Filed under: uncultured bacterium
Lineage: Bacteria
Description: 16S ribosomal RNA
Rfam family: Bacterial small subunit ribosomal RNA
Source: RNAcentral